UGGGGAAUAUUGCGCAAUGGGGGAAACCCUGACGCAGCAAAGCCGCGUGAAGGAUGAAGGUUUUCGGAUCGUAAACUUCUUCGAUGAGGGACGAAGAAUGACGGUACCUCAAAAACAAGCCACGGCUAACUACGUGCCAGCAGCCGCGGUAAUACGUAGGUGGCGAGCGUUGUCCGGAAUUACUGGGUGUAAAGGGCGUGUAGGCGGGUACACAAGUCAGAUGUGAAAUACCGUGGCUUAACCACGGGGCUGCAUCUGAAACUGUAUUUCUUGAGGGUCUGAGAGGAAAGUGGAAUUCCCUGUGUAUCGGUGAAAUGCGUAGAUAUUGGGAGGAACACCAGUGGCGAAGGCGACUUUCUGGACGAUAACUGACGCUGAGGCGCGAA
RNAcentral lists this ribosomal RNA (386 nucleotides) under uncultured bacterium. RNAcentral's name for it is "bacterial SSU rRNA". It matches the Rfam family "Bacterial small subunit ribosomal RNA", at positions 355 to 757 of the family's 1533-position model. The record is from RNAcentral.